CUGUGGUUGCUUGUAGAUGCUUUAAGCUAAAAUUCGUUCCCAUGGUUACGUUCAACUAGAAAUCUUUUUUUUUUAUUGCUUUUAGCUAAUAAUCGUUCUCAUUGGUACUUUCAGUUGAUGGUUGUUUUCGUGGGUACUUUUAGAUAGGAAUUAUUUCUCUGUUUAUUUGGAGCUAGAAUCUGUUUUUGUGGUUUUUGUUUUUUAGCUAGGAGUUUUUUAGCAGCUAGGCGAGUUUUUCAGCAGCUAGGAGAUUUUUUUAGCUAGGAGUUUUUUAGCAGCUAAGAGGGUUUUUUUAGCUAGGAGUUUUUUAGCAGCUAGGAGUUUUUUAGCUAGGAAUUUUCAUUGUUACUAUUACAAGAACUCGCUUCUGUGGUUAUUUUUAGUUACAAAAUCAUUCCCUAAAAAAGAAAGAACAGAUGGAAAGAACCAGAACCAGAGACAGAUGGAAAGAACGAGACAGAGAGAGACAUAAUAAAUUCUCUAAGCUGUCCACACACACACACACACACACACACACACACACACACACACACACACACAGUAAUGAAAUGAGGAAUUUAUUGUGUGUGUGAAAGAGAAGAAUAUCAGAGCGAGAUGAGAUAAGCAAGUUGAGGGGG
Long non-coding RNA from Ictalurus punctatus (channel catfish), 617 nucleotides. Lineage: Eukaryota; Metazoa; Chordata; Actinopteri; Siluriformes; Ictaluridae. The record is from Ensembl.